Molecule: non-coding RNA, 58 nt
Organism: Aedes albopictus (Asian tiger mosquito)
Lineage: Eukaryota; Metazoa; Arthropoda; Insecta; Diptera; Culicidae
Source: Rfam
UAGCCUAGUGGUUAAGGCAAUGGAUCGCCAAUCCGGAGACGGCAGGUUCGAUUCCCGU